ACCGACCACGUUCCGCAGUUUUAUUGAACACGGCCGGCGUUUUCUACCAACUGCAACGAUGGAGCCAUUGAGAAAAUUUGCAAUAAGACUAGAGUCUCUCGCUUGUAAACUACGUCAACGUAUCUUCUGACAUCUCGGGGCCAUAUGAGGAGGAUGGAGACCUUCCAUUGAAACCACAGCGAUUGUGGUAGUAUCAUUCCACAUCCCAGCGAAUCAUCUGUCUCGUUACUUUUGGAAAAACAAGCUUACAGUGAACUCAUUCUGCUUUUUAAGCGAUGUCGCACCGACACCAGUUAACAAGCAGGACGUGUCCACUGCCUUUGCCCAUGCAAGGCAGCCGAACGAUACUUGCGAAAAUUCGUUUAAUAGGCGUUUCUACACGGCUGAUCUCCUGGAACCGUUGCAGCGACUCCUUCCUCCAAUGCGAUACGGUCAGCAGCUGAUUGUGCCAGCCCGGAAGUUGUUACGUUAUUGCUAGUAGUAAUGCCAGAACCAGACUACAGUUUCGGCUGUUUCCUCUCCGGCUGUAUCAUCGCAGACUGAUCGGCCAGCAACCUUUCUGCGACCAAAUGUCCUGCGACUAGUUGCCUUCGGCGAAAUGUAGCGGUGCCAUUAAAUUUAAUACUACACUGCAGAGGCGCUGGAUGGAUGUACAGCGUGUCAAGCGUCUCUCC
Molecule: long non-coding RNA, 674 nt
Organism: Paramacrobiotus metropolitanus
Lineage: Eukaryota; Metazoa; Tardigrada; Eutardigrada; Parachela; Macrobiotidae
Exons: 3
Source: RefSeq, a predicted model, not a curated record